AUUGAAGAGGCUAUUAAAGACAUCUCAAUGUUUACACUCGAUGAGUAGAUGGUCUUCUACUCCAUGAUGGUUUCCAGUGAUUCGGAUGUCAGGAAGUGGAAGAAAAAUUCAAAUUCCGAAUAAGAGAGAAUUUCUUUUUAUUAGGUAAAGAUUCCAAGUUCUAUUGUAAUAUAAAACUAAAAUGCUUAUUCCACAAUCACUUGAGAGAUGCCUUCGUCAUAAGGCCCCUUUCCGAUUGGAGAGAAUUUAUCCUCGGUAAGGAAUCGCCGACCUUGAAAUAUUAAAAAAAUGCUUAUUCCACAAGAUUAGGGAGAUCUUUUUCUUUACGAUCUGAUCCCUUUUAAAUUUAGUAUAAAAUAAAAUGUUUAUUCAGGGAGAUCUUUCCUUAAUGAUUUGAUCCCUUGUAAAUUUAUAGAGAUACUUUUCUUUA
Long non-coding RNA from Cryptomeria japonica (Japanese cedar), 430 nucleotides. RefSeq lists it as uncharacterized. The transcript has 2 exons. The record is from RefSeq and is a predicted model, not a curated record. NCBI's taxonomy places the organism in Eukaryota, Viridiplantae, Streptophyta, Pinopsida, Cupressales, Cupressaceae.